UGUAUAAUGGGUCAGCGACUUAUAUUCUGUAGCAAGGUUAACCGUAUAGGGGAGCCGUAGGGAAACCGAGUCUUAACUGGGCGAAUGAGUUGCAGGGUAUAGACCCGAAACCCGGUGAUCUAUCCAUGGGCAGGUUGAAGGUUGGGUAACACUAACUGGAGGACCGAACCGACUAAUGUUGAAAAAUUAGCGGAUGACUUGUGGAUGGGGGUGAAAGGCCAAUCAAACCGGGAGAUAGCUGGUUCUCCCCGAAAGCUAUUUAGGUAGCGCCUCGUGAACUCAUCUUCGGGGGUAGAGCACUGUUUCGACUAGGGGGUCAUCCCGACUUACCAACUCGAUGCAAACUGCGAAUACCGAAGAAUGUUAUCACGGGAGACACACGGCGGGUGCUAACGUCCGUCGUGAAGAGGGAAACAACCCAGACCGCCAGCUAAGGUCCCAAAGUCAUGGUUAAGUGGGAAACGAAGUGGGAAGGCUCAGACAGCCAGGAUGUUGGCUUAGAAGCAGCCAUCAUUUAAAGAAAGCGUAAUAGCUCACUGGUCGAGUCGGCCCGCGCGGAAGAUGUAACGGGGCUAAACCAUGCACCGAAGCUGCGGCAGCGACACGUAGUGUUGUUGGGUAGGGGAGCGUUCUGUAAGCCUGCGAAGGUGUACUGUGAGGUAUGCUGGAGGUAUCAGAAGUGCGAAUGCUGACAUAAGUAACGAUAAUGCGGGUGAAAAACCCGCACGCCGGAAGACCAAGGGUUCCUGUCCAACGUUAAUCGGGGCAGGGUGAGUCGACCCCUAAGGCGAGGCUGAAAAGCGUAGUCGAUGGGAAACGGGUUAAUAUUCCCGUACUGGUGGUAACUGCGAUGGGGGAACGGAGAAGGCUAGGUUGUCCGGGCGACGGUCGUCCCGGUUCAAGCAGGUAGGCAGAGUGAUUAGGCAAAUCCGGUCACUUAAUGC
RNAcentral lists this ribosomal RNA (944 nucleotides) under Proteus mirabilis. RNAcentral describes it as "partial 23S ribosomal RNA". It matches the Rfam family "Bacterial large subunit ribosomal RNA", at positions 609 to 1556 of the family's 2925-position model. The record is from RNAcentral. Lineage: Bacteria; Pseudomonadati; Pseudomonadota; Gammaproteobacteria; Enterobacterales; Morganellaceae.